GGACCGCCUACGUGGUGGUGUCUGCCGCAGGCCAUAGGGAUCCAGCCCACUUAGGCAGUCCCUUGGGGACGCGGCCUUCCCUCCGGAGCGGAAAGGCGCUUCCCGCCCGCCCUGCGGUAAUCCCGGAAGCCCUCAGCCGUUAAGCUAAAAUUUCUGUUGCUUUGGCUACUGAUGGAAACCUGUUAUACAUCUCACUAUGUUGCUCAGACUGGUCUGGAACUCCUGGCCUCAAG
This 233-nucleotide long non-coding RNA is filed under the name Homo sapiens (human). Its description in RNAcentral is "non-protein coding TMEM202-AS1:36". The record is from RNAcentral. Lineage: Eukaryota; Metazoa; Chordata; Mammalia; Primates; Hominidae.